This 2729-nucleotide long non-coding RNA is filed under the name Sus scrofa (pig). RNAcentral's name for it is "lncRNA (ENSSSCG00060038153.1)". Lineage: Eukaryota; Metazoa; Chordata; Mammalia; Artiodactyla; Suidae. The record is from RNAcentral.
AUGGACUAGUAGAGAAUUUUUUGGUUUGUUUAAUUUCUCAUCUCAUUUUUUCAUAUACUGAUUUGGAAGUUUUAUAGUUUAUUUCUAUACUCUUAAAAAGUUAUUCUUUAAACUUUAUUGAUAUAUUUAACUGAAAACAGCUAGAGUAUAUCAGCACCUUUAUCCUUCUCCCAAAUCAUUAAAGAGCCUUAGAAUGUUUUAAAUCUGCUCAUGCCAUUCCCAGCUUGUUUUCUCUUUAACAGUAUUUUAGGUUUUAUUUGUUCUAUUUUAAACACUAUAAACUGGAUACUAUCAAUAGCACUUAUGUUCACAUUUUCACUCAUUUUUAGGGUUAGGGUGAGUCUUCCAUUCUUAGGCAAAUACUAGGAAAAACAUUGCCUUGGGCAAUACCAUGAAGGAGCCAAUGGAUUGCAAUAACAUGACACCACAUUCCAAACACUGGAAUUUGCAUUUGCAAUAAAAAUUGUAAAUGACCAUUUUCCUCAAUUCUAUUUCUAAUGCGUUGGUCCUUAGAUGAUUAAAUUUGUCACUUCUCAGGAAUAACUGGUCAGGGUUUAAUUGAGGACAGUGUGAAAGAACAUCCUAUUACUCAGUGAACAAAUAGUUUUCUGGGGAGGUUUAAAGGAAAAGAAAAUGGAAGCAAUUCUGGAGGGGAAAAGAAAAACUAUCUUUUCUCAAGGGACCAAGGUUGGGAUAUGGCUGAUCUUCCAGAGUCUGAACAAGCAUAGAGUUGGGAGAAGAUAGUGGAGCAGUGAAAUAUAGAGAUGCUAAGGGAGCUAAGUUAGGAAAUGAUCUCACACCUGGGGAAAAUCUUGUAGACUCAAGCAAGAAGACCUCAAUUUUCCUUUUUUGAUUUGGAGACUUUGUGAAGGGUGAUAGUUGUAUGAAAACACAUGAAAAAACCAACCUUUUAUUUGAAUUCUGGAGUUAUAAGAUUCAUCAUAGUUUGUGUUAACUGAAGUUCUUUUUUUUUUUUUUUUUUUUUUUUUUUUUUUUUUUUUNGAGCUCCUGGGAAGUUCCAUGUGCCAUGGGUGCGGCCCUGAAAAGACAAAAAAAAAAAAAAAAGCCAAAAAACAAAACAAACAAACAAACAAAAAUACUGACUGAAUGCACACUGCCCACCUGGCAGUUUCAGACCAGGAUGAUGAGCAGACCUGAGAGCCUGCAGCUUUCCCAUGCUCAGGGACUGGGGAGGGAGACAGCCAUGACCUUAGUUGCAGGACCACUUCCCCCAGUGCCCUGAAAAGAGGCCAGCUGCUCGGAGAGCAGGACCCAGCAUUGGCUGUGCACAGACAGGCCAGGAAGUCAGAGAGGGAGGCCUUCCACAAAACCAAUGAGAAUGAAUAGAGCCAGGGAGGGGAGUACUCCAGGAGCUGGGAUGGGAGCCUGGGAGCCAUUCUAAGCUGUGGAGUGAUGAGCUCACACUUCAGUGUUACUCUCUUCCCCAAAUGGAGGAUGAGAGGAGAGGUGGUCAGCUCAGAGCAUGGGGAUGGGGUGGGAAGGUAGAAGAGGUGGAGAUAAGGGACACUGAGGGGGUAAAAUGAGCAGACCCAGACUCAGGAGGAGAGGGGAGGGCCAAGGAGGCUCCAGGAAGAUGCAGAUUCACCUGCAUCACUGAGCCUGCUCCUCCACACUUAGCUUCUCACUUGACCAUCAGCUGGCCAUGAAGGCUUCAGGCAUGGUUUAUAGAGGAAAAGCUUUCUGAGUUCAUGAAUAUGUGAAAAUCUUUUCUUGCAUUCAUAUUGACACAGAGCUGUGCUAUGGCAGAGGAAAGGCUAAAAUUAGCCCAGCUUUUAUAGAGAAUUCUUUUCCCUAAUUUUAAUGCUAGGGUGCUCAUAAGAUUUAAUUUUUAUGCAAUUUAUCCUUGGUUUUUCUAAAGUUAACAGAAGGGUUUUCCACUAAUUUUUUUUUUUUCUUUUCUAAUCUAGUGGAUACACCUCCCUCUAAUUAUCAAGGUAAUGGCUAAUUUCCAGGGUCCCCAGAAUCUCCUCCAGAGACACACAGUGUACUUUAUUUCCCUCUUCAUUCACCUUAGAGUGAGCAUGGCACACAGGGCACACCUCCUAGGCGUAGAGUAACCAAAACGUGUUUGUGUACAAGUUAUCUAGUGCUAUGUGACAAAUGUCCCCACAGUCAGUGACUUAAAACAACUAUUUUUUUCAAUGCUCUCAGACUGGCCCAGGAGCUCAGACAGGGCGCUGUGAGAAUGGCUUGUCCCUGCUGAGUCUUCUCCACCGGAUGGCCUGAGUCUGUCAACUGAAGCACCUGCAGGAGGCCUUUCUGUGUGCUUCUCACAUGGGGACAGCUCUGUUCCCCAAGGGAGUGUCCCACGAGAAAGCCUUCCAAGAGGUCCUUUGUGACUCGGCCUUGAAAGUGACACAGCUCCCCUCCUGCCAUAUCCUAUGGUAGGAACAGUCAAAACCCACCCAGAGCAAGGAGAGGGUUCAAAGACCCCACUUCUCCAUAGAGAAAUGUCAUGGAAUUAGGGGGUGAACUGUAAAACUACCACAGGUGGGCACUGGCCCGAUAUGACCUCCGCUCAUUGUGCAGCUAAAUCCCAAAACAACUCACCACUUUGUGUCCCACUUCCUGUGGGGCUUGAGGUCGGUCUCAGCCCCUCCCCAGACCAGCCUUUCAGCAGCCGGGGUCCUUCCUCCUUCAUCUGUGGUGCAUGGAGUAGGGACAGAGUGGAGGAAAGCGUCAGCUACAUGCCCCCACUCCAGGCUCAC